UCUAGAUUCAUGUGCCUAGCAACGGAAGCAUCUCCCUUCUCAGAACCUGGCAACUGAUGCGGUUCUUCCCAAUGGCUCUUCUACCACACCAACCAAAUUUAUUUGUUUUUAUCUUUGACGUCAGUAAGUCUAACUUCUUUCUCCACAUAUGCUACGCACCAAUGUCUCUGCAAAACAAUAAGAAAUACAACCCCAGCAGCAGCAGCAGCAGCAGCAGCAGCAGCAGCAGCAGCAGCAGCAGCAGCAGCAACAACAACAGCAAGACACUGAAAAACUGGAUUCCAUUUAGUGUUCGCCAAUUAUGUGUGAUCAUCAUGUCUGCUCACAAAUGAGUGAGUGGGGUUAGAAUACAGUUUCACUGUAUUGAAGAAAACCAAUUUUUCUUUUCCCUAGGAAAAUGCUGUUUCCUUAACCACAUAUCUUCUCUGGGUCAUAGGACCUUUACUUUUUUUCCACAAUAUUCUCUGAGUAUUGACGGGAGGUUUUUAAUAAGGACAUUGUACUUAUGGCUGAACAACCCAAGGUCCCUCACUUUCUGUGUACUGAUCACACUGUGUGGGCUUGUGUUAUUCACAGUUGAUUGAAGAAGCUUCUUUGAUGAGAGCUGAGUAACCAUGUGGUCUAUGGGUAUAGCAAUAUACCAUUAGGACUCAUUUUAUUGUAAUAUUCAUUAAGUGGAGUAAUAGUUGUAUAUGUAUCCUCCUAGGCCAUAUGAUUUAGUGAGUCUAAACAUAAGCAGUAGAAGUAUGGGUUCCAUCUCAUGACGUUUAACUUGAAUCCAAUCAGAAUGGGCUUGGUGAGCCUCUGAAGAUUCCUUCC
This 819-nucleotide long non-coding RNA is filed under the name Rattus norvegicus (Norway rat). RNAcentral's name for it is "long non-coding RNA NONRATT032240". Lineage: Eukaryota; Metazoa; Chordata; Mammalia; Rodentia; Muridae. The record is from RNAcentral.